GAUGAAGAACGUAGCGAAAUGCGAUAAGUAAUGUGAAUUGCAGAAUUCAGUGAAUCAUCGAAUCUUUGAACGCACAUUGCGCCCUCUGGUAUUCCGGGGGGCAUGCCUGUUCGAGCGUCAUUAUAACCACUCAAGCUCUCGCUUGGUAUUGUGGUUCGCGGUUCCGCGGCCCCUAAAAUCAGUGGCGGUGCCUGUCGGCUCUACGCGUAGUAAUACUCCUCGCGAUUGAGUCCGGUAGGUCUACUUGCCAGCAACCCCCAAUUUUUACAGGUUGACCUCGGAUCAGGUAGGGAUACCCGCUGAACUUAAGCAUAUCAAUAAGCGGAGGA
Molecule: unclassified non-coding RNA, 329 nt
Filed under: soil metagenome
Description: partial contains 5.8S ribosomal RNA, internal transcribed spacer 2, and large subunit ribosomal RNA
Rfam family: 5.8S ribosomal RNA (bases 1-120)
Source: RNAcentral